AAAGAAUCAUCCAGGAAAAAGAUCGAAGACACUAACCACAAGCUUGUUGGCCAUGAUGAUGAUCGUCGAGAGCACACAGAUCAAGCAGAGCGAGAGACGCUUGGCCGAGGCCGAGGCUGAGGCCAUUCCUCCCCCUCGUGGCAGCUUGGUCCAGACGGGAGUCCCUCUUGUCCUCCAAUUCAGCCUUUCUGUCGCCACCAAGACCCUGGGCCCGAGACCUGCAGCAGGAGCAGGAGGACCCCGCAUCCUGCAGCUGGCCUCAAAGAUGUAUGAUUUCGCCCUGUGGAUCACCUUCAUCUUCGACGCCGUCCUGGUGCUCUAUCUCCUUGUCCGUUACAUCGGACUCAGGGACUCGCCAUCAGUCAACCGAACUGUAAGGUACCUCAUGUUUACUACUGUCGUUGUGGCGUCGGCUACUGCAACGUUGGGGUAUGUCCUCAACAUAGCAGUCGCUUGAUGCAUCUGCUAUUGCUCUGUUUUUGUUCAGGUAAUGAAGUGUUGGGACGCACCCAACCACCCAUCAAGUCUCGGUCCCGUCGGUCUGCCUGUGUCGUGUCUCUGUGUGAUAUCAUCCUUUGUAGAUCUUUUGGCACACAGUAUCGUUGACUAAUUAGUUAUUUCAUCAUCGUUGUGAUGGCAACUCGCAGGUCCUCUUUGAAAGAUCACCAUCAGUUAAUUAUGAUUGGUGGGAUUGCUUAUCUUUUAUUUUGCUUUUCUUUUUUCUUCUUUUCUUGUCUGCUUUUACAAUGAGAAGCAGAUGAUGUUUUAGCUUGCUUGCAGUAUUCCUGAUAAUAAUCCAAGUGUUGUUGUAAUUGAUUGGAAUAUUUCUUAUUCUUAA
Molecule: long non-coding RNA, 838 nt
Organism: Musa acuminata AAA Group (dessert banana)
Lineage: Eukaryota; Viridiplantae; Streptophyta; Magnoliopsida; Zingiberales; Musaceae
Exons: 2
Source: RefSeq, a predicted model, not a curated record